RNAcentral lists this long non-coding RNA (326 nucleotides) under Calidris pugnax (ruff). RNAcentral's name for it is "lncRNA (ENSCPUG00000010920.1)". Lineage: Eukaryota; Metazoa; Chordata; Aves; Charadriiformes; Scolopacidae. The record is from RNAcentral.
UAACUAUGAAGGAUUGCUGAUGGAAGUGCUUCAGUUAUUAGGCCUGUGAAAUGAGGAUGAUGAUGCUUGCUUCACAACAGAGGUCCAUAUAACCCUGAUAAGGGAACAGUGCUGCACAAGAGAUCCAGUGUCACUACAAGUGAUCACAAGUUGCAAGAAACUGCAAAGAAUUCAACCUCGACAGAACAAGGCAGAAAAUCUCAAAACGUGGGAUUUCUGAGUGUAUGUUCCUGAGAGAAAAAUUGAAUAUGCUGGACUAAAAGAAUCAGUUAAUUCCUUAAUAUACUGAUAUUACUAGUGAAAUUAUCCUAACUGGCCAAUUUGCA